RNAcentral lists this ribosomal RNA (528 nucleotides) under uncultured bacterium. Its description in RNAcentral is "bacterial SSU rRNA". It matches the Rfam family "Bacterial small subunit ribosomal RNA", at positions 39 to 567 of the family's 1533-position model. The record is from RNAcentral.
GCGGCAGCUACACAUGCAGUCGAGGGGUACAGAGGAGCUUGCUUCCGCUGACGACCGGCGAACGGGUGCGUAACGCGUAUAGAAUCUGCCUUGUACAGGAGGAUAGCCUUUAGAAAUGAAGAUUAAUACUCCAUAAUACUGAUAUGUGGCAUCACACUUUAGUUAAACAUUUAUGGGUACAAGAUGACUAUGCGUCCUAUUAGCUAGAUGGUAAGGUAACGGCUUACCAUGGCAACGAUAGGUAGGGGGUCUGAGAGGAUUAUCCCCCACACUGGUACUGAGACACGGACCAGACUCCUACGGGAGGCAGCAGUGAGGAAUAUUGGUCAAUGGAGGCAACUCUGAACCAGCCAUGCCGCGUGCAGGAAGACUGCCCUAUGGGUUGUAAACUGCUUUUAUACAGGAAGAAACAGAUCUACGUGUAGGUCCUUGACGGUACUGUAAGAAUAAGCACCGGCUAACUCCGUGCCAGCAGCCGCGGUAAUACGGAGGGUGCAAGCGUUAUCCGGAAUCAUUGGGUUUAAAGGG